GAAAUGCGAUACUUGGUGUGAAUUGCAGAAUCCCGUGAACCAUCGAGUCUUUGAACGCAAGUUGNGCCCGAAGCCAUCCGGCCGAGGGCANGCCUGCCUGGGNGUCANGCAUNGGGUNGCCCCCCCGCCCCUCGUGGGCGUGGGGGGCGGAGAUUGGCCUCCCGUGCGCUCCCGCGCGCGGCCGGCCCAAAUGCGAUCCCCCGGCGACGCGCGUCGCGACCAGUGGUGGUUGAACGCUCGGCUCGCUUGCUGUCCGUCGCGCUCCACGUCGUCGUCCGGCCGGGCAUCACGAACGACCCUGACUGCGCCCGCGCGCGCUUUCGACCGCGACCCCAGGUCAGGCGGGAUUACCCG
Molecule: ribosomal RNA, 354 nt
Filed under: Sclerochiton harveyanus
Lineage: Eukaryota; Viridiplantae; Streptophyta; Magnoliopsida; Lamiales; Acanthaceae
Description: eukaryotic LSU rRNA
Rfam family: 5.8S ribosomal RNA (bases 1-107)
Source: RNAcentral